GGUAUCGCCGUUAGUCAUGUGCAAAUAUGGAUAGCUGUUUUAGCCGUCUUUAUUGACUGGUUUAUAAGAGUUAUCAGAUAUCACUUUGAUUAAAUUAGAGUGCUUAAAGCAAGUGUGUUACUUGGAUAUAAAUGCAUGGAAUGAUGGAAUAUGUUGUUAUUCUAUUUGUUGGUUUUUGAAUGAUAAAAUGAUUGAAAGGAACUGUUGGGGGCAUUCGUAUUGUUAUGAGAGAGGUGAAAUUCUUAGACCACAGCAAGACGAACUACUGCGAAAGCAUUUGCCAAGAAUGUUUUCAUUGAUCAAGAACGAAAGUUAGAGGUUCGAAGGCGAUCAGAUACCGCCCUAGUUCUAACCAUAAACUAUGCCAACUAGCAAUUUGCUUUGUAUUUCUUAUGACUAAGUGAGAGGCCACGGGAAACCUAAGUAGGGUUAUGGGGGAAGUAUGGUUGCAAAGCUGAAACUUAAAGGAAUUGACGGAAGGGCACCACCAGGAGUGGAGCCUGCGGCUUAAUUUGACUCAACACGGGAAAACUUACCUGGUCCUGACACUAGAAGGAUUGACAGAUUGAUAGCUCUUUCUUGAUUUGGUGGAUGGUGGUGCAUGGCCGUUCUUAGUUGGUGGAGUGAUUUGUCUGGUUAAUUCCGAUAACGAACGAGACUCUAGCCUAUUAAAUAAUACACGGAAUUUUAUCUUCCGCGGUAUUUCUUAGUGGGAUCAAGCG
Molecule: ribosomal RNA, 722 nt
Filed under: uncultured eukaryote
Lineage: Eukaryota
Description: SSU rRNA
Rfam family: Eukaryotic small subunit ribosomal RNA
Source: RNAcentral